This 4123-nucleotide long non-coding RNA is filed under the name Sus scrofa (pig). RNAcentral describes it as "lncRNA (ENSSSCG00030031287.1)". The record is from RNAcentral. Lineage: Eukaryota; Metazoa; Chordata; Mammalia; Artiodactyla; Suidae.
CCUCCUUCAAGAGUUUGCUCAAAUGUCACCUCAGUGAAGCCUACCCUAUAUCCUGUCCAAAAUUGCGAAACAUUUCUCCCCAUAGCACUUUCAUCAUCUAACAUACAUGGUGCUAACCAAGGGUGAGGGAACUCUAGAAUGGACAGUAGAAGACAGAGACCUGUAUCAUUUGCUGCCUCCAGAUCAGCUGCUGUGCUGGGGGCUGUGGCUUGUACCACAUCCAGCGCUGCAGCUGCCGUGGGCACUGCAGGUUGAUGGAGCUUGGGAUACUCUGCUGACAUGCUCCAGGAUCUAAUUUUUAGAGGCCAGACUGAUGAAUUAAAUGGGAAUUGAUCUUCUUCCUUUAGGUCUUUUAAGGUACUAUUUUCUGCUUUUUGCCUCAGGAUAUUUAAAAUUUGCAGUCUUGCUCAGAGGAGAAAUGUAUGGGCAGUUUCAGAGGCUCUCACUGGUCCGUCCCUACUUUUUAUUCACAGGCCAAGGGACCAAUGUGGAUAUGUGGGUGUUCUGGCAACUUGCAAGUAUUAUCUCUUUCAAUUACACAUUCAGGGACUGGGGACAUAACCACAGGGUUAGUCUCUGGACCAAGCGGACCUACUGAAGUAGGCCUGGGCUAGAAGUCCAUCUCUUACCUGGCUGUCAUCCAUAUUCACUCUACUAGGGACCAUGAUUUAUAUCACGCUGGAUAUCAUUGUCAUCUCAGACCUUGUGUUCAGCAGUUGUCAAAAUACUGGACUAUUUCCUUUCCCCAGGGUAUAGGUUACCCAAGUAAAUAUCUGCCAGUCCCUUUGUAGAAGGACUGGGGUAUCCUUGUCAUAUAGGCUUGCCAAGGUGUUGCAGGGUGCAUCUUCCUGAGGCUCUGGCCUUUCCUUCAGUUAGUGGGUUCCAAGUCUAAAGAUUAGUUUAGGUCCAGAAGCUCAUCAAAGAAUGCUGACUUUUUAUUGGCACAACUGCCGUUAGUCUCUUCACGAUCCUUCCUCUUGAUCCGUGCAUCAGAAUCACUCAGAAGGCUGUGUUAAACUACAGAUUGCUCAUCCACUCAGCCAGAGUUUCUGAGUAGGUCUGGGCUGGGGCCUGAGAAUUGGUGCCUCUCACAAUUUUCCAGAUGAUGCUGAUGCUGCUGGUCAGAGACCACACUUUGAAAACACUGUACAGAUCAAUCUGGGGACUCCCCAUGAGCUCCAGCCAUUUUCCCAACCUUCUGUGCUUCAGUCACCCCCUGCUGCUCUAACCUGCUGUUCAGUGAGCAGUUUGCCCCCACCUUGCUUCGGACAGUUAAACAUUGUCACCUGGCCUCUAGGGCUCUAGGAUCUUCCCUCUCCGUGUGAAUCAAUCGUUGGAUGUAGGCUGCCCCCAGGGAGAGGACCUGUCCUUGUGCCAGGGCUCUGGGCAAUGGGGACUGGCCGGGAGCUCUCAGCUGUCAGCACUAAACAACUGGGAAAAUUGGGUGUAUGGGGCUUGAAGGGAAAAUGUGGGUGGUGCUUUUCUGACCCUACCAUGAAUCUACCAGCAUCAGCCUCACAGCCAGGACUGGGGUGACAGGAGUGAGAUUUGCCUCAGGUACAAAAUUUAAGGGGACACCAAAAGAUUAAAUAAUCAAGGUAAACAUUUUGAAGCCACAUUUCAAAAAGCAAAAUGCAAAAAAAUUCCAUGAUAAGCAAAAUUUCAGAUUUUUAAAUAAAGGCAGGAUCAGUGUUAUGGAUCUUUCUGUUUCCCUUGCAAUCUGUCUACACCCACUGGAAGUUAAGUUCUGAGAGGGCCAGGGUUUCUGUUUGCCUUACUCACUGAUGUACCCCCAAUUCUUAGAGGAGUUCCUGGCACAUACUAGAUGCUCAGUUAAUCUUUGUUGAAUGAGACAUUUAAGACCUGUAAGGGAAGCAUGACCAUUUGUCUACACUUGCCCAUUUCUCCCUCUUCUCCCAGUAUUUCUCAGUUAGUACCGACUAGACAAAAGAGGCUUCUUCAUCUUGGAGCCAGGAGAAUUGGAGGGAGCUUUGUGCCAUGGAGGGAAAGCACCUGACAAAAAUAGCACAUAUUUUAUUGUUAAUGUCAAUUGUGAAGUGUGUUUAAAAGUAUUUCUUUAGUGAUUUCAUCAUCAGAUUUAAAGGAUAGAUGCAAUGCAUGUCAUUAUACUAACUAACCACAGCUAUUAGUUGUCAUCUUGUAUAAUUAUGAGAAACAGCUGUCAGAACUGCUCCUAAAAAGCUGCCCUGCCCCCAAGGAUUAGAUGGAUUUAGGAUUCCAGGACCAAAAGCAGAAGAGCAGAUCUUCAUGCAAGUGGCAAGUGUCAUGGUCAGCAGGUUCCUGUCCUCCCCUGCUUUUUAUCUCCAUGAGACAUCUGAUUAUUCCACCAGGAGCACCAAGGUUUAUGUUUCAACCAGGAAUGGCUGAAAUGGCAGACCUUUUGCACAUGACACUGGAAGAAGAUGUGACCAGAACUGCAGGGCACUAGCUCUGGCAGACCUGGGCAGCUGCAUAUGCAAAGCAGGGGAUUUCUCCACACCUUAGCCCUGGUUCAGCACCUAAGGAAAGGCAGUAACACCUCAAGGCGGCUGUGCUUCGCCACGCCAAGCCGGGCUGUGGCAUCCGCUGGGCUCUGGGCACUGUCGCGGCGGAACACUGUGAGGCUGCCCUGGGGGAUGGCGAGGUGCAGCCCGGCCAAGUAGCCCUUUUUUUUUUCCCCCCAUCAAAUGUGUGAAAGUACUUUUUUUCAUGGGGAGCUUUUGCUCAUUAAAAAGCUGGACCCUAGAUAACUGUCCGGAAGGGGUUUUGUGUGUCCGUUUCCUGUGCUUACUUCCCUUGAACAAAGGUGGCUCUGACAAGUCCCAGUCCCCCGGAAAGGGAAUCUAGGCCAGCCCGUUCUCUCUGUGGCUCACACCACUAGGGGGCGUGGAGGAUCGCUGACAAAGGAACUCAAAAGCCUGGGAUGCCUGAACUCACCAGCUGAAGCUGGAGACCUGCCUGCAUUCAACUCAUGAUGAAAAAGUUUCUUCCAAAAGCAGGCCCCUUGGGCGCUCCAGGCAGACACACAGGCCCACUGAGGGCUGGGCCAGAGCCGGUGGGGGCGGGGAACCCCAUUUGAGCAUCACAGAACAGUGCUCCUUCUUCUGAAGACGUUGCACCUGAAGAGCUAGACUGUGGCAGGGCCUUGAAGCCCUGAGAGCCUUGAAGCCAGAGUCCAUUUUAUAGAAGCGCAGACUCUGAAAGAAUAUACGUUCAGUAAUGUGAUUCCUUUGGGAGGUGGGGAACAGGCAGAUUCCUAUCCACAAGGUCCUCAGAUUUGUGUUAAUCAGAAAUUUAAAACAAAAAACAAAACAAAAAAAAAAACACACAGAAUCUCCCACAAGCAAUAGCCUGCAUUAUUUUUUUGUGGUUGAGACAUCAUUGACAUAGAGUAGGUUUAAAGUGUACAACGUGUUGAUUUGAUGCAUUUAUACAGUGUAUGAUCACCACUAUCAUGCCAGCCAACCUCCAUCACGUUAAGUAAUUACCAUUUCUUUUUUGUGGUGAGAACAAUUAAGACCUAGUCUCUUAGCAACUUUCAAUUAUAUAAUACAGUAUUAUUAACUGAAAUCAUCAUGCUGUGCAUUAGAUCUCCAGAAUUGAUUCAUCUUCUAGCUGUACGUUUGUGGCCUUUCGCCAACAUCUCCCCAUUUCCUCCACUUCCUGGCCCUGGUAACCACCCUUCUACUCUGUUUUUAUUCAGCUUUUUUAGAUUUCACAUACAAAUGAUGUCAUUACAAGAUUUGUCUUUCUCGGUCUGGAUUAUUUCAUUUAGCACAAUGUCCUGGAGCUCCAUCCAUGUUGUUGCAAGCAGCAGGAUGUACUUUCUCAUGGAUGAAUACUGUCCAAUUGUAUACAUGUCUGUCUUCUUUCUUCCUCAUUGAUAAAUGCUUGUUUCCUUAUCUUAGCUGCUGUGAAUAAUGCUGCAUUGAACAUGGUGGUGUAGAUCCUAUUUUCCUUUCCUUUGAAUAUAUACCCAGUAAUGAAAUUGCUGGAUCAUAUAUAGCUCUAUUUUUAAUUUUUUGAGGAACCGCCAUACUGUUUUCCAUAGUGAAUGGACCAAUUCACAUUUCCACCAACACUGCGCAAGUGUUCCCUUUUCUCCAAAUCGUUAUCAACAUUU